This 3067-nucleotide ribosomal RNA is filed under the name Campylobacter jejuni. RNAcentral describes it as "23S ribosomal RNA". It matches the Rfam family "Bacterial large subunit ribosomal RNA". The record is from RNAcentral. Lineage: Bacteria; Pseudomonadati; Campylobacterota; Epsilonproteobacteria; Campylobacterales; Campylobacteraceae.
GUAAGCUACUAAGAGCGAAUGGUGGAUGCCUUGACUGGUAAAGGCGAUGAAGGACGUACUAGACUGCGAUAAGCUACGGGGAGUUGUCAAGAAGCUUUGAUCCGUAGAUUUCCGAAUGGGGCAACCCAAUGUAUAGAGAUAUACAUUACCUAUAUAGGAGCGAACGAGGGGAAUUGAAACAUCUUAGUACCCUCAGGAAAAGAAAUCAAUAGAGAUUGCGUCAGUAGCGGCGAGCGAAAGCGCAAGAGGGCAAACCCAGUGCUUGCACUGGGGGUUGUAGGACUGCAAUGUGCAAGAGCUGAGUUUAGCAGAACAUUCUGGAAAGUAUAGCCAUAGAGGGUGAUAGUCCCGUAUGCGAAAAACAAAGCUUAGCUAGCAGUAUCCUGAGUAGGGCGGGACACGAGGAAUCCUGUCUGAAUCCGGGUCGACCACGAUCCAACCCUAAAUACUAAUACCAGAUCGAUAGUGCACAAGUACCGUGAGGGAAAGGUGAAAAGAACUGAGGUGAUCAGAGUGAAAUAGAACCUGAAACCAUUUGCUUACAAUCAUUCAGAGCACUAUGUAGCAAUACAGUGUGAUGGACUGCCUUUUGCAUAAUGAGCCUGCGAGUUGUGGUGUCUGGCAAGGUUAAGCAAACGCGAAGCCGUAGCGAAAGCGAGUCUGAAUAGGGCGCUUAGUCAGAUGCUGCAGACCCGAAACGAAGUGAUCUAUCCAUGAGCAAGUUGAAGCUAGUGUAAGAACUAGUGGAGGACUGAACCCAUAGGCGUUGAAAAGCCCCGGGAUGACUUGUGGAUAGGGGUGAAAGGCCAAUCAAACUUCGUGAUAGCUGGUUCUCUCCGAAAUAUAUUUAGGUAUAGCGUUGUGUCGUAAUAUAAGGGGGUAGAGCACUGAAUGGGCUAGGGCAUACACCAAUGUACCAAACCCUAUCAAACUCCGAAUACCUUAUAUGUAAUCACAGCAGUCAGGCGGCGAGUGAUAAAAUCCGUCGUCAAGAGGGAAACAACCCAGACUACCAGCUAAGGUCCCUAAAUCUUACUUAAGUGGAAAACGAUGUGAAGUUACUUAAACAACCAGGAGGUUGGCUUAGAAGCAGCCAUCCUUUAAAGAAAGCGUAAUAGCUCACUGGUCUAGUGAUUUUGCGCGGAAAAUAUAACGGGGCUAAAGUAAGUACCGAAGCUGUAGACUUGCACACAACUUAGAUUAUUUAAGUUUAGAAUAUAAAAAACUAAGUUAUAUGUUUUAAGUUAUAUUUUUACUGAUUUUUAUAGAGUAAAGAUAGAAACAAAACUUAGUAAAAUCAGUAAAAAUAUUCUUGGUUUAAAGUUUAAGUAGUUUAAGUUGUGUGCAAGUGGUAGGAGAGCGUUCUAUUUGCGUCGAAGGUAUACCGGUAAGGAGUGCUGGAGCGAAUAGAAGUGAGCAUGCAGGCAUGAGUAGCGAUAAUUAAUGUGAGAAUCAUUAACGCCGUAAACCCAAGGUUUCCUACGCGAUGCUCGUCAUCGUAGGGUUAGUCGGGUCCUAAGUCGAGUCCGAAAGGGGUAGACGAUGGCAAAUUGGUUAAUAUUCCAAUACCAACAUUAGUGUGCGAUGGAAGGACGCUUAGGGCUAAGGGGGCUAGCGGAUGGAAGUGCUAGUCUAAGGUUGUAGGAGCUUAUACAGGCAAAUCCGUAUAAGAAUACUCCGAGAACUGAAAGGCUUUUUGAAGUCUUCGGAUGGAUAGAAGAACCCCUGAUGCCGUCGAGCCAAGAAAAGUUUCUAAGUUUAGCUAAUGUUGCCCGUACCGUAAACCGACACAGGUGGGUGGGAUGAGUAUUCUAAGGCGCGUGGAAGAACUCUCUUUAAGGAACUCUGCAAAAUAGCACCGUAUCUUCGGUAUAAGGUGUGGUUAGCUUCGUACUAGGAUUUACUCCGAAAGCGAAGAAACUUACAACAAAGAGUCCCUCCCGACUGUUUACCAAAAACACAGCACUCUGCUAACUCGUAAGAGGAUGUAUAGGGUGUGACGCCUGCCCGGUGCUCGAAGGUUAAUUGAUGGGGUUAGCAUUAGCGAAGCUCUUGAUCGAAGCCCGAGUAAACGGCGGCCGUAACUAUAACGGUCCUAAGGUAGCGAAAUUCCUUGUCGGUUAAAUACCGACCUGCAUGAAUGGCGUAACGAGAUGGGAGCUGUCUCAAAGAGGGAUCCAGUGAAAUUGUAGUGGAGGUGAAAAUUCCUCCUACCCGCGGCAAGACGGAAAGACCCCGUGGACCUUUACUACAGCUUGACACUGCUACUUGGAUAAGAAUGUGCAGGAUAGGUGGGAGGCUUUGAGUAUAUGACGCCAGUUGUAUAUGAGCCAUUGUUGAGAUACCACUCUUUCUUAUUUGGGUAGCUAACCAGCUUGAGUUAUCCUCAAGUGGGACAAUGUCUGGUGGGUAGUUUGACUGGGGCGGUCGCCUCCCAAAUAAUAACGGAGGCUUACAAAGGUUGGCUCAGAACGGUUGGAAAUCGUUCGUAGAGUAUAAAGGUAUAAGCCAGCUUAACUGCAAGACAUACAAGUCAAGCAGAGACGAAAGUCGGUCUUAGUGAUCCGGUGGUUCUGUGUGGAAGGGCCAUCGCUCAAAGGAUAAAAGGUACCCCGGGGAUAACAGGCUGAUCUCCCCCAAGAGCUCACAUCGACGGGGAGGUUUGGCACCUCGAUGUCGGCUCAUCGCAUCCUGGGGCUGGAGCAGGUCCCAAGGGUAUGGCUGUUCGCCAUUUAAAGCGGUACGCGAGCUGGGUUCAGAACGUCGUGAGACAGUUCGGUCCCUAUCUGCCGUGGGCGUAAGAAGAUUGAAGAGAUUUGACCCUAGUACGAGAGGACCGGGUUGAACAAACCACUGGUGUAGCUGUUGUUCUGCCAAGAGCAUCGCAGCGUAGCUAAGUUUGGAAAGGAUAAACGCUGAAAGCAUCUAAGCGUGAAGCCAACUCUAAGAUGAAUCUUCUCUAAGCUCUCUAGAAGACUACUAGUUUGAUAGGCUGGGUGUGUAAUGGAUGAAAGUCCUUUAGCUGACCAGUACUAAUAGAGCGUUUGGCUUAUCUUUAAUAAAGCAU